This 250-nucleotide ribosomal RNA is filed under the name uncultured bacterium. RNAcentral's name for it is "partial 16S ribosomal RNA". It matches the Rfam family "Bacterial small subunit ribosomal RNA", at positions 524 to 773 of the family's 1533-position model. The record is from RNAcentral.
UACGUAGGGAGCGAGCGUUGUUCGGAAUUACUGGGCGUAAAGGGAGCGUAGGUGGGGUGGUAAGUUAGGAGUGAAAGCCAUGGGCUUAACCCGUGAGCUGCUUUUAAUACUGCCAUUCUUGAGUGCAGGAGAGGGAAAUGGAAUUCCAGGUGUAGCGGUGGAAUGUGUAGAUAUCUGGAAGAACACCAGUUGCGAAGGCGGUUUCCUGGCCUGUUACUGACGCUGAGGCUCGAAAGCUAGGGGAGCAAAC